UCGACGGAGAUCGAAGAUCUAAUGAUUUGUUCAAAAGAUCUCUAUCAUCAAAGGGCAUUAAUGAAGCCCCAUUGGACACUUGCCACCAAUCUCCAUUCAAAAAGGAUAAUUCUUGUUUUAUGCUAUAGAUUCCGUUAUCAUCAGGUUUCAUUUCAGAAGCAGAAGCUAAAACAAAAGCACAUUCUUUCUUGACCUCAUCAGUUCUUUCAUAUUUGUAAGUCAUAGAAGUUCUAGUCCUAGGUCCUAACUCUCCAUCUA
This 258-nucleotide long non-coding RNA is filed under the name Nicotiana benthamiana. Its description in RNAcentral is "long non-coding RNA (NBEN_LNC001379)". Lineage: Eukaryota; Viridiplantae; Streptophyta; Magnoliopsida; Solanales; Solanaceae. The record is from RNAcentral.